AGUCCGUGAUGUGGGCAAUCUCUCCACAUUACCUUAAAUCUAUCCUAAGUUUCAUAGACAGAUUCAGAGUCUGUUUGCUUGAAGCUUGCAAUAAGAUUGCAGAGGUA
This is a small nucleolar RNA of Zingiber officinale, 107 nucleotides long. The record is from RefSeq and is a predicted model, not a curated record. Lineage: Eukaryota; Viridiplantae; Streptophyta; Magnoliopsida; Zingiberales; Zingiberaceae.